Oryza sativa Japonica Group (Japanese rice) is the source of this 7566-nucleotide non-coding RNA. NCBI's taxonomy places the organism in Eukaryota, Viridiplantae, Streptophyta, Magnoliopsida, Poales, Poaceae. The record is from RefSeq and is a predicted model, not a curated record.
AGUGUGACGGGGGCCCACCAGCCAUUGGGCUGGGCGCCCCCGAUCAGGGCGCGGGUCAAGGCCCCCUUGAGCCGUUGGGCUCAAGGGGAGGGAGAUCCAUCUAACACUUGUGACAGAGGAAGAGGAGAGUGACAAUGAUGGGGAUGAUGAGGACGAUUUCAGCGAGGGCGAGAAGGAGUCUGAGGAGGACGACGAUGACAAUGGAGACGACGAGGAGGAGGUGUCCAACGACGAUACUACGGAGGAGGUGUCCGACGAGGAGGAGGUGUCCAACGACGAUACUACGGAGGAGGAGGACGACCUUGAAGACGAUGACAAGUCCUCUUCUGAUGAUGAUGAGGCACCAAAUGAAAGUAGUACUACUUAUUAGUAUUAUUAGUUAGUUACUCCAUAUAAUAGUCACUAAGCAUGUGUUUGGUUUGGAGAUGUGGUGGGAUAGGUUAGAUGAUCCAUUCUAUUUUUUGGAUGGGUUGGACCUAGUUUCUGUUUGGUUGGAGGGAUGGAAUGAACCAUGUAUUUUUUUUUGUUUGGUUUGAGGGUAUAAUGGGCUAGAAUGGUUCUAUCCUUUGUUUGGAUGGAGGGUUAAAGAUGUGAGGUUACCUCUCACAUGAAAUUAUUUCUUGGAUAUAACUACAACAUUAACACAUUCACAUCAUUAUCUCUACUACUAAAAAAGACCAUAAUGGUGGUCGUGAUUCCUACAACUUUUAUUUCUGAUACAUCUAAUUUGUCUAUUCUUUACCUACUGUUUAGUAAUAGUGUAUCCAAAAAAGUUUUUGUCUUAGUGAAAAAUUCAUAUAACAGAAAAAGAAGGUCCUCAACUCUUCCAUAAUAUCCCUAUCUUGCUUAAUAUCUGAGUCAUGCAGAGAUCAAUUAUAUUUGUUCAUUGCUCAUGUUGACUUCAACUCAUGCAAGGAAUCACUUCUAUAUACAUGAUGCUUUGUUGACUGGGACUGACUGACAGUAGAGAUUACAAUUUCAGAAACCUAGCAAUCGAACUAAUAUUGAAUUCUAUAGAUUUUGGUUUUUAGGAGUUGGGACUUUCAAGUUGAUGGUUGUGAGCAGCGGUUUUCAUUUGAUAAUUCAAACCUCUUUCAAAUCUAUACAUGAAUAUUUUAAAUGUAUGAAACCUCCUUAGUAACCUAUGCCUUCUACUAUAUCGAACCCCUCCGCCGGCCAAUAGAUGAUGUUGAAAUAGAUGGUGUUGCAUCCCCAAUGUAUUGAAUUUUCCAUUUUUCAACUUGCAAACCCACAUGUUUUCACCGGACGAAUUCUUCUUUUGCAUUUUUCUGUUCCCAGAUUGAUGCUUUAAGGAUACAGCUCCAGUUAUUCAGAUUUUGUGAACCCACAUGCUAUAAUCUCUAGGUGAAAACCUAAACUCUUGAUUGCUAUACCUAACUCUAAAAUCAGACAACACCUACUAUCUUACACAUGUCAGUUGUUCACGGUUAUUUAAUUUAAGGUUACUUACAUGUUCUCUUAUGGUCUUUAGUAUUGUCAUGCAUAUUCUGCUGCAGCAGAACUUUUCUCUUAAUAGACAUGUAUAUAUAAAAUAUAGGCAUACAUAGGGAUGCAACAUCAUCUAUUUUAACACUGAAAGUUUCUGAAAAAUAUAAGAUAGGUAAGUCUGAAAAUUUACUGUCACAACAUGGGAAUAAUAGGAAGAUCUACGGCUCUCAAUUGCCUCUGUUCUAUACCUCUAGAUGAUUCAUUUCUCAGUUAGUUUUAGAUAUCACCACCAAACCUCUAUAUGAUUCAUUUCUCAGUUAGUUUUAUAUACCACCACCAAAUUUAUAUACACAUGGUAUAUAAUCUGUGAGAUGACAUUUUAUAUAGUAUAGUCUCACCAUCAAUUUCUUUUGUAGUGGAUCUGAACAUGUCAAUAAAGGGUAUUUAUAAUGACUUGUUUGUUUUCUGCAUUUUAGUUUCAACUUGUGGUUCCAGCUGAAGCAAUUGGAGAUUUAUUAAAUCUAAGGCUACAUGCUAGGCUGCUAUGAGGUAAUCUGAGGAAUUCAAAUUUAUAUAUCUGGCAGUACAAUAUCAUGUUCAUACUGCUUUGUUCUGGAAAAAUAUCUGACAGUUUAGCACCUCAAGAGAUGACAUUUGUAAUGUAUUACUCCUGCAUUUCCUUUUUCCUCUAGUCAGGAGUACUCACAUGAGUUCUCCCCGUGCUAACGCUAUGAUUAAAUUUGACAAUACAUUUCAAAAAUCAAAAUGCAUCCGAGUUCAGGAGGAUUCACAUGAGUUCUGAAUUUCUGUUGUAGUCACUGAAUUUGUGUUCAACCCUUGAGAAUUGUCAAACAUGCUAGGAUCAAGUAUAUAUGUCAGCCAUUAGGAAAUGUGAGUUUCUAUUUUUUGCUACCAGCAGCUCCAUGUGAAUUCAGGUGCAUGUAGAUGAUUUUAUUUAAGUUUUAAAACCUACUGAUGCAAGUUUUGUCCAUAUUUAGUCAAUAUAGUUUAGCACAUAACUCGGUCUCGGAGUUCACGGUCGCUCCCUCAGCAUCCAGAGUUCAAUGGCGACGGUUUCUGCUGCUUCUGGUGGUGGUGGCGCUGCUCAUGGUGGCUUCUGCUGGUGGCAAAUAAUUCAGGGGCGGAGCUACUAUGUAAUAGGGGGUGCCCAGGAACCCGGUCAAGAAAAUUUUUUAGCUAUACCUCACCUAUUUUCACCAUGCAUGCACCCCCCUCAAUACAAACUUAGGCACCCGCAUCAGCUUAAACUCGAUCUAAAGUAGAGUAAAUUAAGCAAAUGGCACCACCCUCCAUUUCGCUCUAGCUCUGCCCUGGCGAUGGCGGCUGUGCCGGCUCUGAUCUUCGCCAUGGACCCGGGUUCUCUCCCACACAUCUUCCUUAUGACAGCCAUGGCCUCACACGACGCGCAGAAACUGCCUCCGCCUCUCAGUAUAGGUAGCCUCACGUUCUCCUUUAGAGUUACACCACAAGUUGACCGUACACCAGUUCAAUGGCAUCAUAUGCAGGUCUUGACUGCAUGCACAGCCGUUGGCUAUUGCAUCGCCAAUAAGUACUCCCUCCGUUAAAAAAAAAAAACCCAAGUUAGGAUAGAAUGUGACAUAUCAUAGGAUAUGAUACGACGUGACCUAUCGUAGGACAACGAAUCUAGAUAUCCUAGGAUAGAGUUUUUUUUUUUUUUUUUGAACGGAGGGAGUAGUGGUGUAUUGGCUCGUGAUGAAGGCUUGGUGUUAUAAAAUGGUACUUCCUCCAUUUCACAAUGUAACUUUCUAGUAUUGCCCACAUUCAUAUAUAUGCUAAUGAAUAUAUAUAUAUAUAUAUAUAGUAAUAUCUAGAUUUAUUAGCAUCUAUAUGAAUGUUAGCAGUGCUAGAAAGUCUUACAUUGUGAAACAGAGGGAGUAUUCUUUCCUCAUCUGCUCCUCCAUUGUGACGAACCCGACUAACCCUUCUCUGCUUCCCUCCUCUGCUACUCUACUCCUCUGCUGCUUCCUUCCGAUUCUCUAAUUUGUCCUUACUCUUGAUGUUGUUCAUCGAUUUUGAUUGUUGUAGCUUGAGGUUUUGAGGAUGAUGAAAGGUAUAGUGCUUCUUCCAUGUCAGUAGGGAUAGCAGAUUGUGUUGUUUAUGAUUUUGUUUUUAGUCUGAUCUAAUGUAAUUAGAGAACGCAUUUUAGGAUUUUCAAUUCAAAACCAGCAGGCGUUCCUUCUUCUUGAUUCAAAAGGUUUUCAGUGAGAAAAAAAACCCAAGAUAUCAUUAUGUUGCUAUUUAGAAAAAGCCAAUAAUUUACGAUCUCCGUUCUGGUUUAUGUUUUGUUAGUUAAACCCUGGCAUCAUUAGCCCGGAGAAAUACACGAGGUGCUUCAGUCUGAAUGUUUUGGUUCAAGAUACAUAUUUCUUAAUGAGAUUUUGUUCGGUACUUUUAAAUUACAGAACUGUCCAUUUUGUGUUGUAGUUCAUCAUCUUUAGAAUAUGGACUGAUGGCAUUGUCAAAGCCUCAAGUGGUAAGGAAGGACCAGUGGUAUUAACCUUGAGAAUUAAGAAAAUAAAUGUAUGCACCACUGGUAGAUCGCUUCAGAACCAAUGAUAUUAACCUGGAGUAUUAAGAGAAUUAAUGCCUGCACCACUGGUAUAUUUAUUUAUGUCAUGCAUGUUCCACUGUUGACGGCAACUAUUGAAUAAAUAUGGUCAAAUAUCUCAUGAACCCGCCUUCUUUUUUUCAGAAUCUUUUUUUUGUGAAAAGUUGAAACCAGCUCAUUAUGGUAGUGCCCGAGUUGUGAACUUACUGGUGAAAACAUUCAAACUGCAUUUGGUUGCUGCAGUUAGGAUGUCAUCGGUAUUUUCUUUUGAAUCUCUCUCGUUGAUUUGGUUUCAUUUCAUUUAGGUAGAUAUUGUGCUAAAUUUAUUCCAAAUCAAAAUCAUCCCUUCCCCAUCAGGAUUGUCAUGCUAUCUGCUCUCUCCAAGGUGAGUAUUGGAAACCUUCUCUUGUGACAAUUUCAUUCAGCUGAUGAGUUAUCCUUUGAUCGUGGCCAUUAUAAAUAAAAUAUAAACUGAAUUGCACUAUCUAUAUGAUAUAACUUCUACAAUUGGAUGAGUUCGGAUGCUUGUUAUUGCCUGACAUAAUGAUAGCAUGAAAUAUUAAAUCGGAAUACAAACAGUGAGUAUAAAAACAAGCAGACUUUUGUAUAAAUGGGACCAUUUGUGUUAUUAGAGUGAGGUUUACAUUUGGUCAAUAUUAUAUUCCCGUUUAUGCUCAUGAAAUUCAUCUUAUUGUUGUUCACUGCAGCACAAUCCAACUAUCGAUGCAGGUCAAUAUCCACAAGGUCCUUACAUGCAAUACUCCCUUAUUGAUUCCUUCCUCGCUUAUGAACAAAAAGGACUCAGAGCUGAUACAUUGAGUGCGGCAAAGGUGAGUCAUGUGAGGCAAAUUUGGUUGUCUAUGUGUCUAUUCAUUUUCUAAGUAAGCUGUAAGUACUGCCAGCAUUACGCCGUGGUGGCCAGGUGGGGAGCGGUGGCCGGGCAAUGGGAGCGCCGGAGGGUGGCGCCGGAGCCAGAGCGGCAAUGUUUCCGGCGUCGGCGUAGGCCCAGAUGGUUGUGCUAAGGGAGCUGGCGGCGGUGGGUCGUCUUCCUCGUUGCCGGUCAACACCCUCACCCUUCCUGGAGCUCCUCCCCUUCUCUGUGGGGAGUUUCUAAGCUGGAUUGAGGUGGCAGCUCGUCAGCGGGGGAAGCUCAGGCUGCUGAAGCAAUGCCAUCCAAUCCCGGAUUCUCCUUCGGCCAGAUCUGGCGAGGAGGCCGGCGGGUGGUGGAACGGAGAGGUCCUGGGCCAGCUCUCAGGGAUGGUGGUUCGAUGAAGCCGGCCGACGGAGGGGCGUCGGUCGGGUGUGGCGGAAGCCAUGUGCCGCCGAUGUUCAGAUGGUGGAUUCGGAUUGGGUGAUGUACCACGGUGGCAGGGGGUUCCGAGCGAAAGCUUAGCCCAAUUCUUUGGGCCAACAGUGACUUCGCCUUCGGACGUAGUAACCCUCUUGAGGGCACUGUUGAGGUAUCCCUCCUCCCUCGGCAAGGAGCUCUGGGUGAAAACCUUGUCCAGUCUUUGGAUAGAUGACGACGGCGUCUUUUGGCGUCGCGACCCUCGUGAGGGCGUCAUUUUAGAGUCUUCGUGUCGUAGUGGUGUCGUUAGCUCGGUGGCGAUCGGUCUCGCAUAGCGAUGGCCGGUUCGGUGCUUGGCUUCCCUCUCUGUAGUGUGUGUUCGGACGGUUGGCACAUGGUUCGGGGCGUGUGCUCUGGUGCACAUCCUUCCUCGACAGCCAGCUAUCGAUGUAAAAUUUUUCUUGUAACUUUUUCUUCCUAUCUUAAUUACAUUGAAUGACCUCCUUCGGUCAUUCCGGCAAACUUUGUAGUCAUGCUACACAUCAUCUGCACUAUUGACCUCCUUAUACUCAUGCGACGGAUAUUUUUUCAGAUCAAUGCAGUACAAUCCUACUUUUGAUUAGUGAUAAAUAGAAGUUUGGUUGUUGAACUGAUCAAUACAAGAUCCUUAUUUGUAAGUAUCAUCUUUUGCACCUAAUAUCUGCUUACAAUGAGCUAUGAGAUAACAAAAGGAGUUUAUGAAAUUGAGGUGCUCUUAAUUUAUUGCAAGGUCAGUUUAUCCUUUGUCAAAUUUAUACAUGUUGAGUUUUGUGUAUUUUUACUUUGUUUGAUUGGAUCCUAUAAUGCUAUACUGAAUUUUGGUAGUUGCUGCUUUCCUUCCUAAUAAUCCAUCAAAAUAAAUUUCUGAAUUUUAAAUCAGUGGAGACCUGAAAAACUGUGGUCAAAAGCAUUUCUGAACAAUGUGUCAUGAUUAUCUAGAAUAUGGUGGUCAGAAGCACUUGUAUUAUAUAUACCAUGCAUUAUUUAAAAUUGGUUCCUCUAGGUGCUUGUUCAGGUGUUUGCAUAUUGUUUUAUAAUGCCAACUGAACCUAUCUGAAAUCGAUUCCUCUAGGUGCUUGUAUGCCCGUGCGUUCAUUGCACUCUUGUGCAGUUUGCUACCAAAUCAAUCUCAGAUUUUUCUAGCAAGCCCGGUUAAUUAAUUUGUCUAUGGUCAAGUGUAGCUUUAAUUUGUCAGAUAUGGUGACCUUUAAUUUGGAUUUAUUUAUGAUAUUUCCUCAACAACCUCUAUAAAGUUUAUCUACUUUCUUUUUAUCUAUGUGAAAAGUUAAACAGAUGGUUCCUUAAUUUGCAGUGAAUUUGGUUCCCCAUCUCUGGUCCUACGGUCCAGAGAUUGACAUUUCUCUGUUUUAUGAGGAAUUCAGAAAAUGUUUUUGCUAAAUGCAUACCAGAACAGUACGACCAUAUAAAGGGGGAGCUGUGGUCGGCCUGGUGAGUGUGGACCUCACGGCUAGGUGCUAUCGCUAUAUCUACAAUUGCACAUACGUGUAUUAUCCAGAAUUUUUUCUUCUCCAAAACCAACACAAUGCCCUUAAAUAUUUGAGUGGGAAUUUUUGUUUUGGUUCAAUCAGAGGAUGGAGGAUAAUAUGAUGUACCCAAUCAAGGACCAAGAAACCAUGCUGUGAGUUGGCCAAUCUCUGUUCUCCUGCAAUUACAUUUCCCUUUUUGCAGUAGAUCUUGCUUCCAAUUGAUUUUGCAGGGCAGUACCAAUGGACAUGAACAGGCAGCAGGAUACAGUUUGCUCCAAGGAAAUUUUGCAGCACCAAAACAGUACUAUACUGGCUAGCAUCUCUUGUUUAUUUGCAUUAUGAUAUUUUUUUUAUCCUGUAGGACAGAUUGAUCUAGGCUACGAUCGAAUGCCACAAUAUAUGUCAGGCAUAUAACACAGGGGAGUGCAGAAAUCCUGCUAUUUUCACUAUAAUUCUUUUGCUAUUCUUUGUCUUGGCAAUGUACUGGAUUGAAAUUGAAGAUGUUUAUUGGAGCAUAUAUAUUAUUUUUGUUCAGGGUUACAGGAUUGAAAUUUAAGUAUACAAGAUUACAAGAUUGAAUAUAACUAAAGGAUUGGAGUGAUCAUCUCAAUUUUCAUUAAAUCUUAUAUAAAGAGGUAGAAUUUCUUCUUUUUUCAGAGAAUUUAGGGAAAAUAAGGCUCUUGUCAUUUUUUAUUCUAUUACUGAACAGAAUG